CGUUCCCGGGCCUUGUACACACCGCCCGUCACACCACGAAAGUCGGUAACACCCGAAGCCAGUGGCCCAACCCUUUGGGAGGGAGCUGUCGAAGGUGGGAUCGGCGAUUGGGGUG
This 115-nucleotide ribosomal RNA is filed under the name uncultured bacterium. RNAcentral's name for it is "partial 16S ribosomal RNA". It matches the Rfam family "Bacterial small subunit ribosomal RNA", at positions 1369 to 1482 of the family's 1533-position model. The record is from RNAcentral.